UACAGAGGGUGCAAGCGUUAAUCGGAAUUACUGGCGUAAAGCGUGCGUAGACGGUUACGUAAGUCAGAUGUGAAAGCCCCGGGCUCAACCUGGGAAUUGCAUUUGAGACUGCGUAGCUAGGGUGCGGAAGAGGGAAGCGGAAUUUCCGGUGUAGCGGUGAAAUGCGUAGAUAUCGGAAGGAACACCAGUGGCGAAAGCGGCUUCCUGGUCCAGCACCGACGUUCAGGCACGAAAGCGUGGGGAGCAAACAGG
Molecule: ribosomal RNA, 252 nt
Filed under: uncultured bacterium
Lineage: Bacteria
Description: partial 16S ribosomal RNA
Rfam family: Bacterial small subunit ribosomal RNA
Source: RNAcentral